CGAGCGGUAAGGCCUUUCGGGGUACACGAGCGGCGAACGGGUGAGUAACACGUGGGUGAUCUGCCCUGCACUUCGGGAUAAGCCUGGGAAACUGGGUCUAAUACCGGAUAUGACCUCAGGUUGCAUGACUUGGGGUGGAAAGAUUUAUCGGUGCAGGAUGGGCCCGCGGCCUAUCAGCUUGUUGGUGGGGUAAUGGCCUACCAAGGCGACGACGGGUAGCCGACCUGAGAGGGUGACCGGCCACACUGGGACUGAGACACGGCCCAGACUCCUACGGGAGGCAGCAGUGGGGAAUAUUGCACAAUGGGCGAAAGCCUGAUGCAGCGACGCCGCGUGAGGGAUGACGGCCUUCGGGUUGUAAACCUCUUUCAGCAGGGACGAAGCGCAAGUGACGGUACCUGCAGAAGAAGCACCGGCUAACUACGUGCCAGCAGCCGCGGUAAUACGUAGGGUGCAAGCGUUGUCCGGAAUUACUGGGCGUAAAGAGUUCGUAGGCGGUUUGUCGCGUCGUUUGUGAAAACCAGCAGCUCAACUGCUGGCUUGCAGGCGAUACGGGCAGACUUGAGUACUGCAGGGGAGACUGGAAUUCCUGGUGUAGCGGUGAAAUGCGCAGAUAUCAGGAGGAACACCGGUGGCGAAGGCGGGUCUCUGGGCAGUAACUGACGCUGAGGAACGAAAGCGUGGGUAGCGAACAGGAUUAGAUACCCUGGUAGUCCACGCCGUAAACGGUGGGCGCUAGGUGUGGG
This 746-nucleotide ribosomal RNA is filed under the name Rhodococcus sp. (in: high G+C Gram-positive bacteria). RNAcentral's name for it is "bacterial SSU rRNA". It matches the Rfam family "Bacterial small subunit ribosomal RNA", at positions 63 to 826 of the family's 1533-position model. The record is from RNAcentral. Lineage: Bacteria; Bacillati; Actinomycetota; Actinomycetes; Mycobacteriales; Nocardiaceae.